UAAGAGCGAUCCCUCUAGCUGUCCUGUUCCCGGGCACGGAACAAACCCCAUCGCGACCGGUUCUCCUGACGU
RNAcentral lists this small RNA (72 nucleotides) under Pseudomonas granadensis. Its description in RNAcentral is "Pseudomonas sRNA P10". It matches the Rfam family "Pseudomonas sRNA P10". The record is from RNAcentral. Lineage: Bacteria; Pseudomonadati; Pseudomonadota; Gammaproteobacteria; Pseudomonadales; Pseudomonadaceae.